UACGUAGGUCCCGAGCGUUGUCCGGAUUUAUUGGGCGUAAAGCGAGCGCAGGUGGUUUAUUAAGUCUGGUGUAAAAGGCAGUGGCUCAACCAUUGUAUGCAUUGGAAACUGGUAGACUUGAGUGCAGGAGAGGAGAGUGGAAUUCCAUGUGUAGCGGUGAAAUGCGUAGAUAUAUGGAGGGACACCGGUGGCGAAAGCGGCUCUCUGGCCUGUAACUGUCACUGAGGCUCGAAAGCGUGGGGAGCAAACAGG
This 252-nucleotide ribosomal RNA is filed under the name uncultured bacterium. RNAcentral describes it as "partial 16S ribosomal RNA". It matches the Rfam family "Bacterial small subunit ribosomal RNA", at positions 524 to 776 of the family's 1533-position model. The record is from RNAcentral.